Pelobates cultripes (western spadefoot toad) is the source of this 298-nucleotide non-coding RNA. The record is from the annotation of a GenBank genome assembly. Lineage: Eukaryota; Metazoa; Chordata; Amphibia; Anura; Pelobatidae.
CGAUCGGGGAUGACGAAGGUCAUCUGGGUCAAAUAACGGGUUACCCAGUGGGUCCCGCAAAUAGUCGCCCUCACCAGAGCCAGGAGGCGUAGUGCCCUGAAUCGUACUCUUUUGGGUAGCAACGCCUGUUUGGAUGUCAGACCCGGAAUCCGAAAAUUCUGCGCUGUAAUGAUCCAUAUAGGGAUCCUCAUAUUCUUCCUUCACACUCCGGUCCGAAUCGGACGAAUCCCCAUGGGCACGUGCCCGUUUCCAAGUUCUGGCCGAUUUUGCCCGGCCAGGGGCUCUAGUGCGCGGUGGU